Long non-coding RNA from Toxotes jaculatrix (banded archerfish), 575 nucleotides. RefSeq lists it as uncharacterized. The transcript is spliced from 3 exons. Lineage: Eukaryota; Metazoa; Chordata; Actinopteri; Toxotidae. The record is from RefSeq and is a predicted model, not a curated record.
AUUACGUCACAGGAAGUUUACGGACUCUCAGGAAAUUUCGAUAAACAGUUUCCCAGUGUUUCUGUUUAUUAAAACUUUUACAACGUGUGUAAGAAUGCAGCUGAAACUACGACCCCAAAAGAAAUCUAGUACAGGAACAGCUCCUCCAGUGCGUCCAGCUGCUCUUCUGUAAAAAUAGUGCGGUGACGUCUGGUCCGCCUCUGCACCUGGCCGGGUGAAUGCUCAUCUCUGUGAGCCUCUCCCAGCCUGCAUGGGUUUGAGAGCAUCGCCGGGGGCCAUCCAUACUGACAAGCUACAGGGAGGACAUCUGAUUUUAGGUUAAGCAGGAGAUGGGAGCAGUAGCAGCAGCACAUGCAGGAGUGAUGAACAGUCUCUGUCUGGUCUCCAACAGGACUCACUGUCUUCUCUUUUAGUCCAGCGCCACUUGUCCCACACACUCUUCUGUCUCCAUUACUGUUUGGAUAUUUGCUCAAUAUGUUUUCAAUAGUGAAAGGAAACUUCUGUCUCUCCAUCUUGAUCAGUCCAUUCAUCUCCAAAGAAAUUCCAAUAAAACACGAGCAAUGCUGAUCACAGGA